RNAcentral lists this long non-coding RNA (1387 nucleotides) under Oryctolagus cuniculus (rabbit). Its description in RNAcentral is "lncRNA (ENSOCUG00000031809.1)". Lineage: Eukaryota; Metazoa; Chordata; Mammalia; Lagomorpha; Leporidae. The record is from RNAcentral.
AUGGGGGUGAGGGGGCCUUCCGAGACUGCAUGGCUGGGGGCUCCACCCAUGAGCUUCCGUUGCCUCUCUGGGAGCCCUGGGACGCCUCUCCCAGGCACAGGAAGGGAAGGGUCCCCUGCCCAGCCGGUGCCUCCCCCAGGACUGUGGCAACGAGGGGGCCACAAGGAAGAGGGGCUGAGCUCUGGGCACCUUGCGAAGACCGAGGUCCCUCCUUUGUUAAGGCCUAAGGGACCGAGCUCACCUCCACGGCCACUCCCUUGGGGCUGCCUCUGCCCUGCCUCCCUGGGAGACUUCAGACAAAUCCUCAGCCCUCCCUGGGCCUCGGUUUCCCUACCUGUCCAGUGGCUGGAAAGCUCUCCCAGGUCGUCUCCUUGGACAACUCCUUACAGCUGGAAUCUAUACAUGAUGGCUGGCAAUGUGGCAGCCAGUGAGGUGCCACGAGGUUGAAAGUUAACAUCGAAGGCUGAGGACGCAGGAAGCCAGGAGCUGGCUUGAAGCCAGCACAGUGGUCCUGGGCACCUUGCUUCUGGAUUCCCUGUUCUGUGAGAGGUGUUUCCAUGUCUUCUUUGUCUUGUAACCGAAUCGGCUCCUCCCAGAUACGGAUUGGAAUCCAUCUGCGGAUGUCUCUACUACUCUAAAACCCUGGAGGGUGUUCGGAGCCUGUGCCUCAGUGAUACCAGGAAAUACCUGUUGAUCGACUAACUGAUUAAAUGAAUGGAUAACAAGGAUCUAGUUUAUAAAUGUUCAUGGUGAUAAAAUUAAUUGUCGUAUGAUUGUGAUAAUUGUUAUUAUAGUAACCUCUUGUGUUGAGGAUCUGCUGCGCCCCUACAUGAAACAUUAUUUCACUUAGUCCUGGUACCAACACCUUGAGGCAGAACCUUAACUGUGCCCAUUUUACAGGUGAGAAAAACUGAGGCGCAGAAGGCCUCGCACGGCUCUCAGGUGGUAAAGCCAGGGUUUGAUCCAUGUGUGUAGGCUGCGGGCCGCAUCUUGGUUCCCCUCACUUCACAUCCUCAGGUCAAGCAAGGGAACAGCUCUAUCAUUGGCCGAAGGCACCGUGUGGACUUGGUGGCCCCGGGGCUCAGAGCCUCCACUGCCACAUGCUGCCACAUUGAGCGCAGGGAGCCGAGGGCUGCAAGUCAGGGGAGCAGCACGCCAGCCCCUGGCAAGGGGGAAUCCGGGACCCCUGGCAGACCAGAGCAGACAGGGAGCAGUCUGUCUCAGGGCCUGACUGCGGCUCUCCCUGUCCUGGGGGCCCACGGGCUGCUGCUCACCUUGCCCCCGCCCCCCUGCUCCCCAGACUCCUCCGGGAGGACCCCCACUUGUUGCCUGGAGAUAUCGCCGCGGAGGCAAACGAAGUGGGCGGGGCCUGGCUGCUCUCCUGGCC